Molecule: long non-coding RNA, 875 nt
Organism: Acanthochromis polyacanthus (spiny chromis)
Lineage: Eukaryota; Metazoa; Chordata; Actinopteri; Pomacentridae
Exons: 8
Source: RefSeq, a predicted model, not a curated record
UUUCAUAAUCAGUUCCUGGAUUACGCUAGUCCUGUGCGCAUGCUCAGAGCCUUUCAGCGCACAUAUUUAAUAACUGUGUCCAACAACCUAAAAUGUCAAGAGAAAUACAGCAGGUGCUGCGGCUCAUCAUGCUAACAGGAAAGCAAAAACAGCGGCGUGUUUUAAAGACUGCAGGGGGGCUUUUGGUACUUUUGUGGACUGAAACAGAACUUUCUGGUCAAAAGAUAAACUGCACCGUUGCAGCUGCUGGUCCCUGGUGCUCAGGGAUUCAAAUGAAAGCACUCCAGCCUGUCCUGUCAGAUUUGAAGGAGAGAAUGUUUCCCUGUGUGGGGCCAUGUCCUGAACCAGACCCUAAGGAGCUGAGUGCCUUCACUGAUCUGUAUGGUUCCCUCGGAUUACUUCUGGCUUUUCAGAUGAAAGAUGCAAGACAUUGCACUUCAGAGUGGCGGGCCCAUAUAGAGGCAUUUUUACGCACAUUUAGUUUGGCUAACGCCGAGAUAAAUGUCCAUCUCAAAUUCAGACUCAGUCAGCUGGACUCACAACAAGAAUUUAAAGUCAAGAUCAAGAGCAACGUUGUACAGGCAAAUCAACCAUCACUGAAAUUAGAUGUCACCUGUUCUAGAAAGUCUCCACUGUGUGUGAAUAAAGGACGCUGGUGUCAGGGAGGACAUCCUGUCCUUGGAGGCAGGUUGCCACUUAGCAUCCCACCACAAGCCAUGGACCAAGGCCUGCUCGGGGAGCUCAGUGUCCAGUUUGUUACACUCCUGAGCCCCUGUGUGCUGCAGUACCCCAAUGCAGCUACAGAACUCACUCACAUACAAAUAUCCUUUGUUGGUUUUGAGAUAAUACUCUUUGUGGCGUUCAUGGACAGAAUU